This 207-nucleotide ribosomal RNA is filed under the name uncultured bacterium. RNAcentral describes it as "partial 16S ribosomal RNA". It matches the Rfam family "Bacterial small subunit ribosomal RNA", at positions 568 to 774 of the family's 1533-position model. The record is from RNAcentral.
CGUGUAGGCGGCUUGGUAAGUCAGAUGUGAAAGCCCUGGGCUCAACCCAGGAAGUGCAUUUGAAACUACUAGACUUGAGUACGGGAGAGGAGGGGGGAAUUCCCGGUGUAGAGGUGAAAUUCGUAGAUAUCGGGAGGAAUACCGGUGGCGAAGGCGCCCCUCUGGACCGAUACUGACGCUGAGACGCGAAAGCGUGGGAAGCAAACA